AACGAACGCUGGCGGCAGGCUUAACACAUGCUAGUCGAACGCUCCGCAAGGAGAGUGGCAGACGGGUGAGUAACGCGUGGGAAUCUACCUAGUUCUACGGAACAACAGUUGGAAACGACUGCUAAUACCGUAUACGCCCUACGGGGGAAAGAUUUAUCGGAAUUAGAUGAGCCCGCGUAAGAUUAGCUAGUUGGUGGGGU
This 200-nucleotide ribosomal RNA is filed under the name uncultured bacterium. RNAcentral describes it as "partial 16S ribosomal RNA". It matches the Rfam family "Bacterial small subunit ribosomal RNA", at positions 29 to 258 of the family's 1533-position model. The record is from RNAcentral.